Molecule: ribosomal RNA, 596 nt
Filed under: uncultured bacterium
Lineage: Bacteria
Description: bacterial SSU rRNA
Rfam family: Bacterial small subunit ribosomal RNA
Source: RNAcentral
CCUGGCUCAGGAUGAACGCUGGCGGCGUGCCUAAUACAUGCAAGUCGAGCGAACAGAUAAGGAGCUUGCUCCUUUGACGUUAGCGGCGGACGGGUGAGUAACACGUGGGUAACCUACCUAUAAGACUGGAAUAACUCCGGGAAACCGGGGCUAAUGCCGGAUAACAUUUAGAACCGCAUGGUUCUAAAGUGAAAGAUGGUUUUGCUAUCACUUAUAGAUGGACCCGCGCCGUAUUAGCUAGUUGGUAAGGUAACGGCUUACCAAGGCAACGAUACGUAGCCGACCUGAGAGGGUGAUCGGCCACACUGGAACUGAGACACGGUCCAGACUCCUACGGGAGGCAGCAGUAGGGAAUCUUCCGCAAUGGGCGAAAGCCUGACGGAGCAACGCCGCGUGAGUGAUGAAGGUCUUCGGAUCGUAAAACUCUGUUAUUAGGGAAGAACAAAUGUGUAAGUAACUGUGCACGUCUUGACGGUACCUAAUCAGAAAGCCACGGCUAACUACGUGCCAGCAGCCGCGGUAAUACGUAGGUGGCAAGCGUUAUCCGGAAUUAUUGGGCGUAAAGCGCGCGUAGGCGGUUUCUUAAGUCUGAUGUG